AUUGAACGCUGGCGGCAGGCCUAACACAUGCAAGUCGAGCGGAUGAAGGGAGCUUGCUCCUGGAUUCAGCGGCGGACGGGUGAGUAAUGCCUAGGAAUCUGCCUGGUAGUGGGGGAUAACGUCCGGAAACGGGCGCUAAUACCGCAUACGUCCUGAGGGAGAAAGUGGGGGAUCUUCGGACCUCACGCUAUCAGAUGAGCCUAGGUCGGAUUAGCUAGUUGGUGGGGUAAAGGCCUACCAAGGCGACGAUCCGUAACUGGUCUGAGAGGAUGAUCAGUCACCCGGGAAUGGGACCCGGUCCCAGCUCCUUACGGGAGGCAGCGGUGGGUACUUUUGGCCAUUGGGCGAAAGCCUGUUCCAGCCAGGCCGCUGGUGUGAAGAAGUCCUUCGGUUGGUAAAGCCCUUUAGGUUGGAGGAAAGGGCAUUAAUUUAAUACCUUGCUGUUUUGCCGUUACCAACAGAAUAAGCACCGGCUACCUUCGU
This 483-nucleotide ribosomal RNA is filed under the name uncultured bacterium. Its description in RNAcentral is "partial 16S ribosomal RNA". It matches the Rfam family "Bacterial small subunit ribosomal RNA", at positions 30 to 506 of the family's 1533-position model. The record is from RNAcentral.